Molecule: ribosomal RNA, 523 nt
Filed under: uncultured archaeon
Lineage: Archaea
Description: partial 16S ribosomal RNA
Rfam family: Archaeal small subunit ribosomal RNA
Source: RNAcentral
GNGCCCGUNCCGCCGCCCCCGCCCGACGGGGNGCAGCAGGCGCGAAAACUNGGCAAUGCGAGAAAUCGUGACCAGGGAACUCCAAGUGGNUGGGGUAAGACCCAGUCUUUUCUUGACUCUUNANCGGUCUUGGAAUAAGGGGUGGGUAAGGACGGUGCCAGCCGCCGCGGUAAUACCGGCGCCUCAAGUGGUAGUCGAUUUUAUUGGGCCUAAAACGUCCGUAGCCUGUUUGGUACAUUCGUGGGUAAAUCAACCAGCUCAACUGGUUGAAUUCUGCGAGCACGGCCAGACUUGGGACCGGGAGAGGUGUGGGGUACGCUCAGGGUAGGGGUAAAAUCCUGUCAUCCUGAGCGGACCACCUGUUGCGAAGGCGCCACACUAGAACGGAUCCGACGGUCAGGGACGAAGCCUAGGGGCACGAACCGGAUUAGAUACCCGGGUAGUCCUAGGUGUAAACGCUGUGGACUUGGUGUUGGGGACUCUCCGAGANUCCUCAGUGNCGAAGCGAAGGUGANGNUCNGNU